This 4744-nucleotide ribosomal RNA is filed under the name Triticum aestivum (bread wheat). Its description in RNAcentral is "partial small subunit ribosomal RNA". Lineage: Eukaryota; Viridiplantae; Streptophyta; Magnoliopsida; Poales; Poaceae. The record is from RNAcentral.
CUCUACGGAGGGAGUAGUGUAGAAUUUUUGGAUAAGGCAAGGAAGAAGCCUUGGGAAUUGGGAUGACUGAUGGUGCAUCGCGCCGCGUGACCGUGGUCGGUCACCGGUACCCGCGUGGGAGCCUCCCUCCCGGGGAGUUUCCGGGAAGCUGCCGCCGCCGCCGCCCCGCAAACCGCGACCACAAAGCGGCUUGACCCACGCAGACGGACUGACGGACGCUGCCUCUCCUCCUCACUCUCGCGGGCGACUUGUGGCGGCGGCUGGCGAACGAGAGCGUCGAAGGCGGCAGAGAAGUACAACAAAGAGCAGCAAACUGGAGCCAUCCUUCGAGUCUCGAUCCUCUGAGUAGACUGCCAUGGCGCUGUGGACAGGGCUGGGUCAGGCGGCGACAGUGGCGCAGCUGGUCGGUGCGGACGUCGGCGGCCUCAUCUCCAUGAUUGUGCAGGCCGCGAUGACGGCUCGUCAGAACAAGAGUGAGUGUGAGCAACUUGCUCGUCGUGUCCUCAUGAUCGCGCAGCUGCUGCCGCACGUGCAGGAGCCGGAGCCGGAGGCGGCGCAGCCGCUGGCCGGGCUGGGCGAUGCUCUUCGAGACGCCCACGAGCUCGUUGUGUCCUGCCAGGGGAGGGGCGCGGCGUACCAGUUCGUUAUGGCUGGCAGGACGGCCGAGAGGUUCAGGGAGGUUCAGAGCAAGAUUGACUCCUACCUAAUCCUCUUCCCGGUGAUCAGCCACAUCGGCAUAACACGCCGCCUUGAUCGAAUCUACAAUGUACUUGUUCAAGAUGGCUCCACCAGAGAUGAACCGUCUCGACUUCCACAGUCGUCCCAGUUGCAGGAGUCUGCGGAGGUUGUUCAGGAGGUACUAUCGCAAGGAAUCAAGGAGUUCACGUUGGCGGAGAUCAUAGCUGCCACCAAAAACUUCGCCCAUGACACAAUGAUGGGUUACGGCAGCCAUGGAAGGGUGUACAGGGGGAGGCUUCACGAUGGACGAGAGGUGGCCAUCAAACGCAUGUCAGAAAACAUACAGCUGGAGGACUUCCGCACGGAGCUUGACGUCGUAGCACAGCUACAACACAAGCAUAUCAUCCACCUCCUUGGAUGGUGUGUGAGCAGUAAGGGCAAGCGCCUGCUAACCCGGCGAACAAAGGAGUUAGAAAGGCUGAUCGUGUACGAGUACAUGGAGAAUGGCACGCUCUUCGACCACCUGCACCGAAAUCAGGCCGGCUCCUCUAUGCCGUCACCGGUGACGAUGUCUUGGAAGAUGCGCAUCGAUGUGCUCCUCCGUGUUUCACAAGCAAUAGAGUACAUGCACUGUCAUUCCAACCCUCUGAUCAUCCACCGUGACAUCAAGUCAAGUAACAUCCUUUUCGAUGUUAGUUGGGUGCCUCAUGUUUCAGAUUUUGGCUUGUCAGUCGUCUGGGACAUGGCGAGUGAGGUGUCGUGGUUGGAUGUCACCGUUAGAGGCACACUUGGGUACAUCGACCUUGAGUACCUUCACACAGGUCAUCUGAAGCCGGCGAGUGACGUGUACAGCCUCGGCGUGGUUAUGCUUGAGGUUCUGACAGGGAAAAAGGCGUUUUCCCAAGCAAAGGAGGAGAUGAAUAGAGAUCUGGCAUCCUUUGCAAUCCCCGUCAUUGAGGCCGGAAAUAUUGAGGAGAUGCUAGAUAGGCGACCUGUACCAGAGCCAAUGCCAUGGCACCUGCACGCAUUGAAGCGUGUGGCGCAGAUUGCACGAUGCUGCGUGAAGUUUGCCGGGAAGGACCGGCCUGCAAUAUCAGGCAUCGUUGCCAACCUCGAGACGGCAUGCGAGUUGAUCUGCAGAGAUGAGCCAGAUUCAGUUGACAAGUCUGGUUUGUGGCCCUUCCUUGAAAAAGUUGACGACUCACCAGACUCUCCACAUGCCAGGAGCAUGCCUCUGUUCUGAUCUGGAACCUGAGGUGCUGGAGGAUGGGCCUUGGCACCAAUCGUCCAAGGUGCAUUAUACCGUGGCAGGCUUCACGGCCGGUGACCAAGUGGCCGUCAAUCACAUUAGCCACCCGACGAGCAUCAUUAGGUAAUCCCACGGUUCUAGUAAUCUGCAGGCUUAAGACAGAGCAUGGGAUGGACUCACACUAUUAUGUAUAGUUUGCUUCUACACCACCCACCCUACCUUUUCUUUUGAAUCCCAGAACCAUAGACCAAUUGUUUUACGGCAUUUUCAUACAGUAAUUAAAUAAAGUACAUAUGUACAAAUGAAGCAAAAUACAAGAAAGGUUUAUCCAAUACCAGCCCUAGGUAACAUAGAAAUUGGAGUAAGAGACGAUAAUAAAGUUGGUACUGUGGACAAAGAAUGAAUGAAUGAUGCUGCGGAUGUCGUUAUAUAUGUAAUGUAGUGUCGUGGCCAUAGUUUAGAAGCCUGAUGUAGGAUGUACUGCUUUCUGUUUCUUCGUAGAAGAGUUGCAGUCUUGUAUGCAGAAGCUCAGAAACCUCAAUAAGCAGGCAUAGUUGGCUGGGGUAGAGUUCCCCUUCAGCUGAUUUUGGAUCUGGUUGUCUUAUCAAUUUCAGAUGAAAUGAAAUUGGGGGGCUGAUGCUCCUUUUAUCGAAAUUAUUAAAAAAUAAAUAAGAAAUCGGUGCUGGUGCGACAAGUCCAACGUGUGCCUCUUCUUGGGCGUUCCAUGUGAUCUUUAAAACAAUUGCUUUCUUGUCCUAGUGAAGCCUAAGGGGGAGAUGGGCGUGCUUUCUUUUGCGGCAAUGUUGGCUACCUGUAGAAGGUGCCUGUUGUUUCACCUUUAGUGCCACAUUGCUAGUUUAUUCAGAGUUACUUCCUGACCCAAUAAGUAAUACUUCCAGGGUUUAUUCUUUGACAUGUAACGAGAAAAGUGUAAAUGGAGCCGUUUUUUUAGCCGUCGUGUUACAUUGUUGCUACACAAGAGUUAUAUUCAGCUAGGGCUUGAACAUGGGUGGCCUCCUCACUUUGGUAGCCUGCUCGAAAGAAUAGGCCAUCUCGAUCAGCCUCGGCUCAUACCCCUGCAGCCCGCCGAAGCAUAUCCCGAAGGGGAACCCCUUCUCGUCGUACCCCGCCAGCACAACGAUGCCAAGGUGGCCGCUGAUGGCGAGAAGGCUGGAAAUGUCGCUGUUAGGCGCCACGAUCGCGUCCAAUUGGCGCUCCAUCGUUAGCUUCUGUAGCCCAUUCGCGUUCAGCUCCUUCAGGCUACGGAUCGCGGCUCUCUCUACGGGCCCAAUGCCGUUUGUGCUUUGGGCAGCGAUAAGAUCAGGCUGCCCGAAAUCUUUCAGCCUCUCCUGCACCAACAUGUAAAUAAAUUUUGGAAGAGCCUACAUAAAGAAUAAGUUCCAUUAACUGCCGUGUUGAUUCUACCUAUGCAUGUUUCAGUUGUUUUAUUGCCUCAUGAUCUAUGCAGCAGGAAUCUAUAAGCAAAACUGAGAUUUUUUUUGACAGACCUAGAUCUACAGUAUAUUGUUUGAAUAACAAGAAGUGAACCACCUGCCAUUGGACACAAGCAGGGCAAAUCAUCUGACCCAUGGUAAAGUGUGGCAAAUAAUCUAAUCCCCCGAAAUAUGGAUUCAGUUGGGUCUUUUGGUGCACUUACACUAGUAGAAAAGAGGGCUUUGGUUCAGGCCGGGUCAGCCCAUUAGUCCCGGUUCAGUCCAGAACCGGGACCAAUGGGGGCACUGGUCCCGGUUCGUGAGGCCAGGGGCCUGCCGGGCCUCGUGGGGGCAUUGGUCCCGGUUCGUCUGGCCCCUUUGGUUCCGGUUGGUGGGACGAACUGAGACCAAUGGGCCUCGCUCCUGGCCCACCACCAUUGGUCCCGGUUGGUGGCUUGAACCGGGACCACAGGCUGCCUUUUAGUCCCGGUUCAUGCCACGAACUGGGACCAAUGAGGUGCCUAUAUAUACCCCUCGUCCGCGAGCAGAGCACUCCAGUGCUCUGUUUUUCUCUAGCCGGCGAGGGGAGGGCUUUGUGGUGCUCUAGCUCACCUUCUAUGCACAUGAGGUGUUCGAUGAAAUGCCCGAGCCACACUAGUUAAGCUUUCUCCUCUCGAAGCUCGACCUCAAAGCUCCAUUUUCCUUGAGAUUCGUCUAGGUUUAGCGGCCCGUCACGUCCCAUUCCCGUCUUCACCUCUGUCGAUCGCCCGCGCCGAUCUCGUCGCCGGCACCACCGUGGUGAGCCUCUUAUUCUUAUCUUCUUUCUGAAAGAAAAAAAAUUCUUACUUUAGAUAGAUACUUGUCUAAUUUUCUUACUAUUUUAUUGCUUGUUAUUAUAUAGUGCGAUGGUUUUGGUAUCCGCCCCCGUCGGCCCUCGUCCUGUCUAUGAUUCGGAUGUGGAAGUAUGUGAACCGGAAAUUCCAACCGACCCUAUUGUCGAGAGGUUAAAUUUAGUUGAAGAAGAAAACAAUUUCUUGAAGGAAAAAAAUUGAGGAGGAGAAGAUGAUAUUGGAGUUGCAUGUUGUGGAUGUCGUCGAUGAUCACAAGAUCAAGAUGGAUGUAAUGCGCUUGAAGAUUAGAAAGAUUAGAAAAUAUGCCAUUCAUACCGAGGCUUGGUAUCAUUAUGCCGUUGGAUCAAUUGUUACCUUGGUUGCGAUUAUGAUCGCAUUUGUUUUCGCAUUGAAAUGUUUUACAUAGUUUCAAUGUAUGAUUUAAUUAAUUAGAUGCUUUGGAGAGCUAUAUGUUGUUAGAUGAGAACUAUGUAUGUACUUUGGUUUUAAUGUGAUGAUGAACUUCUAUUAAUUUGGUCACUUAAUUAUCUAUU